RNAcentral lists this long non-coding RNA (2464 nucleotides) under Solanum tuberosum (potato). RNAcentral describes it as "long non-coding RNA (STUB_LNC011005)". Lineage: Eukaryota; Viridiplantae; Streptophyta; Magnoliopsida; Solanales; Solanaceae. The record is from RNAcentral.
CGAUAUUUAGGCAAAAGUCGACAAGAAAUUUGAUUCUUGUGUUCGCCUCUUGCAAGGCUCGUCGGAAUCUCGUUGUGGUAUUGGAGUUGCUGUUUCUCUGCUCGUGGUUCUCGGUUUCGCUGCACCCUUGAAGGUAACACUCAUCUCUCUUCAAGCAUAUCUUGCUCAUAAUGUGUCGUCGCUUGAUUCUUAAUGCGUGAGCCGUCUGCGUGAUAAUGUUUGGAGAAUACUUCGACUCAUUGCUUAUCAUAAAUCAGUAUGUAGCUGGUUUGUCUGCUUCUGGACACUGAUAAGAGUUGAGUUUUUCCGCCUCAUUUGUCUAUUGCUGCAUCUGUUGAUUUAUGUUGGUUAUAUUGUGACCUGGACUUUUGCAAAUGUAUUGGAAUAUUGGGUUUUUAUUGUUAUUACUCUUAUUGUCCUAGUUUUUCUAUAACACCUCUAUGAUCGGUUUCAAAAUUCCUAUUAAUCUUAUUCUGUGUCUAUUUGUUGUAAAUAUGCUUAUGGCUCAGGUUCUAGUGGCAAAUCGUAAUGUAUGCUUCAUGUUUAUUUGGAUUUGUUCACUUCGAUUUAAUAAUGAAACUUGUCAAAAAUCGGUGCUUACCUUAGCCCAUAGGUUGUUAUCUCCGAUAAUCUUAUGUUGCUAUUCAGGGGUCAAGCGUGUCGAAUUAUUAGCAGUCUAUCUAGCUAACGGUGUUCAUCAUAAGUAGCGGUUAUAUUCUUCUCAGAUAGUAGCUUAAGCUUUAACUGAUUUUUACUACUUUAGCAUGAUAUAACUCACCAAAUAUUUGAGGAAUCAGAUUAUUUCCCUUGGAUUUUCACUGAUGGUUGGCCCGUACUUGAGUUACUGUAAGUAGAACAUUUGGUCACGACUCGUUAGCUUAUCCACCAUAUAUUUAAUUCUUCCUGCAAAUAUUCAAAUGCUUGUCCUAUAUAAAAAAAUAAUAAUAUAUAUAUAUAUAUAUAUAUUAAUUUCUAUCCAUUAGUUUAUAGUGUUAUUUCCAGUGAAGUCCUUGAAUAUGCAUUUUAGUUGUUUGUGCUAGUAGCUGUUCAAUUAAAUAAUCUUUUUAUGUCUCAUAGUUUGAUGAAUCCAUGGCUGUUUACUGCUUCUUCGUUAGUAAAAUCGCUUAAUGAUGAUCAUGAAUUACUCAUGUUAAUUCUUUCCUUCCACUUUCCUUACAUGUGAUGCUUCGCCGAGUCUAUUUGGACUUUUCCCAUUGCCUCUUUGCAUUUUCGAGUAUCGAGUCAGCCCUCCGAUGUUCAAGAGUGAAAUGGAAUUGGCGUACAGGUGUUUGGAGCUGAUAUACGGGAUUGUAUACAUUAGUAUACACCUAGUGUAUACGAAAAAAUGAAAAAUGGGCAUAAAGUAGCCUUAAAUUUUCAGCUUUUGUAUUUUUGUAAUUAUUGGACUAAAAGCCCAUUUAUUUUGAUUAUUAUUGUGUUAGUUUAGGACAGGUACCAAGUGUUGGGCCAAAAGCCCCAAAAGCAGAAAUCAGGCCCAAGUAUUGGUCCAGGCGAACAAAAAAAAAAAAAAAAUCCAAACUUGGGCCCAACUCUCUUUCCCUCUUUACUUUAUUGUGUUCAUUUACUUACUAGUAUUUGUCGUUAGUCUUAAGGUCGAAAAAUUCAAAUCCCCGAAAAACGUCUAUUUUGAUUUAAUAAUUUAACUAAACCAGUCAUCUCUUAAACAAGACUUAAAGGAAUAAUUUUGCAGGAUAGCUCACUUAGACAAUAUUUAAAUAUUUCCUCUUUUCCCCCUUUAAAAAUAAGUUUUAACUAUAAAAUAGAUCAAUUUCGCAAGUCAAGCUAAGUUAAAAUUAUUUUAGUCAAGUAGUUAAUCGUCGGAUAACCACAUUAGUGGAUAUUUUAGGUGUCUUUAAAACCAUCCUAGAAUAUUAAUAAGAACCUCGAACCCCCCUUUUAAAAUUUUCAUUAGAUUCCAUGUUUUAAUCUUUUGAAAAAAUAGUUUUCUUGAUUUUUCUUAAAAAUUAAGUGGCGACUCUAAACCAGUCCAAAAUAAUAUUUUCUUAAAUAAAACAAGGGCGAGUACGACAAAUCUGGUCCAUCCAUUGUCCACAAGAAGUGCUUCUAAGGUGUUGCUGCUAUUUUUACAUUUGUUCGCGAGUUCUUUUUUAUUUUUUUUGUUCUUUCUGCUAAAGCUAUUAUGUCAUCCACAGUGAACUCAGGUCUGCUGUUAUAGGCAAGUCAUCGAGAUGGGGCUAUCAAAGAAGGGUGAUUAAAAACAUUGUACCGCUGAUACUAUUUCAUGUUUCCAGUGCAAGCCUCUUUUGUAAGUUGACAAACUCGAUUUGUAAAUAUGUUUGGGACUCAACUAGUGGUUAGAGUAUUGAUUUUGUAAGAUUUUUGUCCAGAAAAUCAAAUUAGAAAGAUUACUCGCGAUGAUUGAAUAAGCUCGAAGAAGUGGAUUUGAAUUUCAAUUCGUGUCUUUUUUUUAUGUGUGUGUGUG